AAUAGAUACCCGGGUAGUCCACGCCCUAAACGAUGAUAACUCGAUGUUAGCGAUAUACCGUUAGCGUCCAAGCGAAAGCGUUAAGUUAUCCACCUGGGGAGUACGCCCGCAAGGGUGAAACUCAAAGGAAUUGACGGGGGCCCGCACAAGCGGAGGAGCAUGUGGUUUAAUUCGAUGAUACGCGAGGAACCUUACCCGGGCUUGAAAGUUACUGAAGAAUGCAGAGACGCAUUCGUCCUUCGGACAGGAAACUAGGUGCUGCAUGGCUGUCGUCAGCUCGUGCCGUGAGGUGUUGGGUUAAGUCCCGCAACGAGCGCAACCCUAUGUUAGUUGCCAGCACGUUAAGGUGGGGACUCUAGACAGACUGCCUGCGUAAGCAGAGAGGAAGGUGGGGACGACGUCAAGUCAUCAUGGCCCUUACGUCCGGGGCUACACACGUGCUACAAUGGACGGUACAGCGGGCAGCUACACAGCAAUGUGAUGCUAAUCUCGAAAAGCCGUUCACAGUUCGGAUCGGGGUCUGCAACUCGACCCCG
Molecule: ribosomal RNA, 536 nt
Filed under: uncultured bacterium
Lineage: Bacteria
Description: bacterial SSU rRNA
Rfam family: Bacterial small subunit ribosomal RNA
Source: RNAcentral